Molecule: long non-coding RNA, 729 nt
Organism: Centruroides sculpturatus (bark scorpion)
Lineage: Eukaryota; Metazoa; Arthropoda; Arachnida; Scorpiones; Buthidae
Exons: 5
Source: RefSeq, a predicted model, not a curated record
GUAAGAAGUGUGUUAAUAAUACUGUAAUUAUUAAAUAAACUGAUAAUUUUUUGGUUAAAGCACGGAUGAAUCUGGCAACACUAUAUUUCCCUUACGUCUAAAGCACGUGUUGGAUGCGUGAGUAGGUAAUUGCAGAUGAAUUUCUGGUUUUAAAUACUAUUUUUGAAUAAAAAUGGAAUUAAGCUUAAUACGAGGAACCCUGAAAAAUAACUGACAUAUGUGUAUUUAUUGAAGCAUUAUAGUAUCUGCUGUAAAUGGAAAUAGUGAUUUGGGAAGCUUUGAUCACAAAAAUUAAUUUUUGAAGGGAAGAUUAAAAAGCGAUGCUGGAAAUUUUGAAAUAGUCGUGUUACCUUUAAACAUCACCAUUGCUAGAGAUCUCCAAAAAGAGGUAGACACCACUAAUGAAAUCACAAAAUCGCACAAACAUGAGACUGAAAAAGCUUUUGUGGGCAAUGGAAUACCCAAGUUUUCAUUUUCUUGGAUAGAGUCAAACAACCAUCUCAGAAUACAAAAGGGAUAGACUUGGAGUCGGGGAGAGGACAGAGACUUUCAUCCAAUCGUGUAAUUAUUGGACAUUUUGGAAAAUAAAUGUAAAUUUAUAAAGCAUUGAUAGCAUUGCACAUAAUGAUUACCUGCUAACUGUAAUAUUACUUAAUGUAAAGAUUUGUGGUGUCCAGUACAUUUUGAUUGAUCCUAUGGAUGACGAAUGUAGCUGACUCAAGAAGAAAA